CCUACGGGAGGCAGCAGUGGGGGAUAUUGCACAAUGGGGGAAACCCUGAUGCAGCGACGCCGCGUGGGCGAAGAAGUAUUUCGGUAUGUAAAGCCCUAUCAGCAGGGAAGAAGAAAUGACGGUACCUGAGUAAGAAGCACCGGCGAAAGACGUGCCAGAAGCCGCGGUAAUACGUAUGGUGCACGCGUUAUCCGGAUUUACUGGGUGGAAAGGGAGCGCAGGCGGCACGGCAAGCCUGAUGUGAAAGCCCGGGGCCCAACCGGGGGACUGCAUUGGGAACUACCGGGCUGGAGUGCCGGAGAGGUAGGCGGAAUUCCUAGUGUAGCGGUGAAAUGCGUAGAUAUUAGGAGGAACACCAGUGGCGAAGGCGGCCUACUGGACGGUGACUGACGCUGAGGCUCGAAAGCGUGGGGAGCAAACAGGAUUAGAUACCCGUGUAGUC
RNAcentral lists this ribosomal RNA (442 nucleotides) under uncultured bacterium. RNAcentral describes it as "partial 16S ribosomal RNA". It matches the Rfam family "Bacterial small subunit ribosomal RNA", at positions 338 to 795 of the family's 1533-position model. The record is from RNAcentral.